Molecule: ribosomal RNA, 458 nt
Filed under: uncultured bacterium
Lineage: Bacteria
Description: partial 16S ribosomal RNA
Rfam family: Bacterial small subunit ribosomal RNA
Source: RNAcentral
GAUAAACGCUGGCGGCGUGCUUAAGACAUGCAAGUCGAACGAAGGAUCGCCCGUUCUCGAUCCUUAGUGACGGGCGAACGGGUAACGCGUAGGUGACCUACCCCGACUUGGGGUAUAACUGCCCGAAAGGAUGGGUAAUACCGCCUGUGGACGCCCGUGCAUUCGUUCGCGUUAAGCCGCAGGGCGCUUCGGGAGGGGACUGCGUCCGAUUAGCUCGUUGGUGGGGUGAUGGCUUCCCAAGGCGACGAUCGGUGGGUGGUCUGAGAGGACGAUCACCCAGGCUGGGAAUGCGACACGGCCCAGACUCCGACGGGAGGGAGCAGUCGGGAAUUUUGCGCAAGGGAGGAAACCCUGAAGCAGCAGCGUGGCGGGAGAGAGGAAGGCCUUCGGGUUGUAAACCUCUUUGGUCAGGGACGAUGGUGACGGUACCUGGAGAAUAAGCCACGGCUAACUACGUG